ACAACUAACUCAUUCCACUUUCACCUCAUAUCUAUAGAGUCCGGCUGGGGUACUAUUGAUAGCACUAAGGAUUUGGUGCUAUCGAGUUUUCCACCGUUAGAUUUAAUUUUUUGAUUAUUUUUACCCAUUAAAUUAUACGAUUCAACCAACCACUCACUCAACCUAGGGAGCCCACAUCAUCCUAACCACCCAUUUAUCAAUCCAAAGGCUAAAAAAUCAAUAGCACUAAUAGGUUUGUGCUAUUGAUAGUAUUCCAGCCUAGUUCUAUAUAUAUAUAUAUAUAUAUAUAUAUAUAUAUAUAAUUGAGCUAGAAUACUUUUAAAAGCAUAAACUCCUUAGUACUUCUAAGUUUCUAGCCCUUGAAUCUACUUCUUGAUUACUAAUAGUUUUUGAAUCAAACAUUAUUUCACCUACCACCACCUACUACUAUCUAUCACCAUCAUCUCAAUCUCAUAUCCCUCCAUCCAAUGACUAAAAACUCAAAAGCACCACCUUCAUGGUGCUUUUGAGAGUAUUCUAGCCCAACUCUCUUUCUCUUUCUCUAUAUAUAUAUAUAUAGUUCUUUUAUUUUUUUUUUUU
This 579-nucleotide long non-coding RNA is filed under the name Ananas comosus (pineapple). RNAcentral's name for it is "long non-coding RNA (ACOM_LNC014356)". Lineage: Eukaryota; Viridiplantae; Streptophyta; Magnoliopsida; Poales; Bromeliaceae. The record is from RNAcentral.